Hirundo rustica (Barn swallow) is the source of this 357-nucleotide long non-coding RNA. RefSeq lists it as uncharacterized. Lineage: Eukaryota; Metazoa; Chordata; Aves; Passeriformes; Hirundinidae. The transcript has 3 exons. The record is from RefSeq and is a predicted model, not a curated record.
UCUUAUUCAUCUGGUCUUGCUUUUAUCUCCUGGUCUUGGGGGGAAAGGGGUGGAGAAUUCUUUCUCUCUGUGGUAUGGCAGGACUAAGCUUCUGCUUUCCCUUGGUCUGAUGAUUUUGCCUUUUUGUGGUGGCAUCCCUGCUAAUGCUGCAAAGCUUUCAGGUUAGAUGGAAUGAAAAGAGAAAAGACACCUACUGUGGGCUUCAAACUCUGCUUGAUGUGGACAGUGACAAAAACCAGGCAUCUUUUUAGCCAGUGUGGCAUGUGUGGGAAGGCUUUGGCUCGUAACAAUCAAUGUGUAUUUGUUGCAAAACCGUCAUGUCAAACAAAUCUAAUUUCUUCCUGUGAUGAGUUAACU